Molecule: ribosomal RNA, 253 nt
Filed under: uncultured bacterium
Lineage: Bacteria
Description: partial 16S ribosomal RNA
Rfam family: Bacterial small subunit ribosomal RNA
Source: RNAcentral
UACAGAGGUGGCAAGCGUUGUUCGGAAUCAUUGGGCGUAAAGGGCGUGUAGGUGGUUCUGUAUGUCUACCGUGAAAGCGUACGGCUCAACCGUAUUUAGUCGGUAGAAACUGCAGGACUUGAGGCUGGGAGGGGCUGGUGGAAUUCCCCGUGUAGCGGUGAAAUGCGUAGAGAUGGGGGAGAACACUCGUGGCGAAGGCGGCCAGCUAGACCAGUUCUGACACUGAGGCGCGAUAGCGUGGGGAGCAAACAGG